GAUGAACGCUGGCGGCGUGCCUAAUACAUGCAAGUCGAGCGAACAGACGAGGAGCUUGCUCCUCUGACGUUAGCGGCGGACGGGUGAGUAACACGUGGAUAACCUACCUAUAAGACUGGGAUAACUUCGGGAAACCGGAGCUAAUACCGGAUAAUAUAUUGAACCGCAUGGUUCAAUAGUGAAAGACGGUUUUGCUGUCACUUAUAGAUGAAUCGCGCCCCCUUAGCUAGUUGGUAAGGUAACGGCUUACCAAGGCAACGAUGCGUAGCCGACCUGAGAGGGUGAUCGGCCACACUGGAACUGAGACACGGUCCAGACUCCUACGGGAGGCAGCAGUAGGGAAUCUUCCGCAAUGGGCGAAAGCUUGACGGAGCAACGCCGCGUGAGUGAUGAAGGUCUUCGGAUCGUAAAACUCUGUUAUUAGGGAAGAACAAAUGUGUAAGUAACUAUGCACGUCUUGACGGUACCUAAUCAGAAAGCCACGGCUAACUACGUG
Molecule: ribosomal RNA, 496 nt
Filed under: uncultured bacterium
Lineage: Bacteria
Description: partial 16S ribosomal RNA
Rfam family: Bacterial small subunit ribosomal RNA
Source: RNAcentral